GCAACCUUCGUGCGACCCUUCAAUCCAUCCAGUUCUCCAUCCGGAGUUCAUAACCAAAUCUGAUCCAUUUGAGUGAGCCGAUCUUAGGGUCCUUCAAGUGGUAUCAGAGCCGCUCGUUUGGUAUCUUCUAAAUCAUUCAUCUUUCUCAUCUUCCAUUUCUAAAUCAUAAACACUUAUUCUUCUAUCCAUCUUGAAUCCGGAACCCUCAUUAUCAUCCUCUAUCUAUAAAAAAAAAAGUUUUUCAUUUGGGGAUUGGUGGUGGAAGAGAAAGCCUGCUGGCUGAGGAGAAAUCCAGCCUUUGAGGUGGUUAAAACGGAUUCCCAAAACCAAAAUCUCUUAUCUUUCUCUCUUUUUAAAUUAUCUUGUGUUUGCUUGGAUUUUGUCCAUUGGGAUUCUUUGAUGUGUUCUUC
RNAcentral lists this long non-coding RNA (410 nucleotides) under Brassica rapa (field mustard). Its description in RNAcentral is "long non-coding RNA (BRAP_LNC008288)". The record is from RNAcentral. Lineage: Eukaryota; Viridiplantae; Streptophyta; Magnoliopsida; Brassicales; Brassicaceae.